This 298-nucleotide signal recognition particle RNA is filed under the name Amphiprion percula (orange clownfish). Its description in RNAcentral is "Metazoan signal recognition particle RNA (ENSAPEG00000000899.1)". It matches the Rfam family "Metazoan signal recognition particle RNA". Rfam says of the family: The signal recognition particle (SRP) is a universally conserved ribonucleoprotein. It is involved in the co-translational targeting of proteins to membranes. The record is from RNAcentral. Lineage: Eukaryota; Metazoa; Chordata; Actinopteri; Pomacentridae.
GCCGGGUGUGGUGGCGCGCGCCUGUAAUCCAAGCUACCGGGAGGCUGAGGCUGGAGGAUUGUUUGAGCUCAGGAGCUCUGAGCUGCAGCGGACUAUGCCGAUCGGGUGUCCGCGCUAAGUUCGGUAUCGAUAUGGUGCUCCUGGGGGAGCUCGGGACCACCAGGUCGUCUAAGGAGGGGUGCACCGGCCCAGGUCGGAGACGGAGCAGGUCAAAGCCCCCGUGCCGCUCAGUAGUGGGAUCGCGCCUGUGAAUAGACGCUGUAGUGCAGCCUGAGUAAUACAGCGGGACCCAGUCUUU